Molecule: ribosomal RNA, 460 nt
Filed under: uncultured bacterium
Lineage: Bacteria
Description: partial 16S ribosomal RNA
Rfam family: Bacterial small subunit ribosomal RNA
Source: RNAcentral
CCUACGGGAGGCAGCAGUGAGGAAUAUUGGUCAAUGGACGAGAGUCUGAACCAGCCAAGUAGCGUGAAGGAUGACUGCCCUAUGGGUUGUAAACUUCUUUUAUAAAGGAAUAAAACGAGGCACGUGUGCCUUUUUGCAUGUACUUUAUGAAUAAGGAUCGGCUAACUCCGUGCCAGCAGCCGCGGUAAUACGGAGGAUUCGAGCGUUAUCCGGAUGUAUUGGGUUUAAAGGGAGCGUAGAUGGGUUGUUAAGUCAGUUGUGAAAGUUUGCGGCUCAACCGUAAAAUUGCAAUUGAUACUGGCAGUCUUGAGUACAGUUGAGGUAAGCGGAAUUCGUGGUGUAGCGGUGAAAUGCUUAGAUAGCACGAAGAACCCCGAUUGCGAAGGCAGCUUACUAAACUGUGACUGACAUUGAUGCUCGAAAGUGUGGGUAUCAAACAGGAUUAGAUACCCUGGUAGUC